GAUGAACGCUGACAGAAUGCUUAACACAUGCAAGUCUACUUGAUCCUUCGGGUGAUGGUGGCGGACGGGUGAGUAACGCGUAAAGAACUUGCCCUGCAGUCUGGGACAACAUUUGGAAACGAAUGCUAAUACCGGAUAUUAUGUGAGUUUCGCAUGAAAUUCAUAUGAAAGCUAUAUGCGCUGCAGGAGAGCUUUGCGUCCUAUUAGCUAGUUGGUGAGGUAACGGCUCACCAAGGCGAUGAUAGGUAGCCGGCCUGAGAGGGUGAACGGCCACAAGGGGACUGAGACACGGCCCUUACUCCUACGGGAGGCAGCAGUGGGGAAUAUUGGACAAUGGACCAAAAGUCUGAUCCAGCAAUUCUGUGUGCACGAUGAAGUUUUUCGGAAUGUAAAGUGCUUUCAGUUGGGACGAAGUAAGUGACGGUACCAACAGAAGAAGCGACGGCUAAAUAUGUGCCAGCAGCCGCGGUAAUACGUAUGUCGCAAGCGUUAUCCGGAUUUAUUGGGCGUAAAGCGCGUCUAGGCGGUUUGGUAAGUCUGAUGUGAAAAUGCGGGGCUCAACUCCGUAUUGCGUUGGAAACUGCCAAACUAGAGUACUGGAGAGGUGGGCGGAACUACAAGUGUAGAGGUGAAAUUCGUAGAUAUUUGUAGGAAUGCCGAUGGGGAAGCCAGCCCACUGGACAGAUACUGACGCUAAAGCGCGAAAGCGUGGGUAGCAAACAGG
Molecule: ribosomal RNA, 724 nt
Filed under: uncultured bacterium
Lineage: Bacteria
Description: bacterial SSU rRNA
Rfam family: Bacterial small subunit ribosomal RNA
Source: RNAcentral